AUGAAGAAUUUUUUUUUAAAUAAAUAUUUAAUCUAUUUGAAUAAUGUAUACAAAUUGGAUAAUAAAAAAAAAAAAUCGGGUGUUGAAAAAUGGCAUACAAAUAAUAAUGGUUUAAAUGAGUUGAAAGAAAAAGAAGAUUUGGGUAUACAUAAGGAGGACAAAAAAAAUAAAACAACUGAACAAACAAAAGAAUUAAGUAAAAUAAGCAAUUUGUUGAAUAAUACAGAAGGAGAUAAAAUUGGUGAUAGUGAUAAAAUUGGUGAUAGUAAUAAAAGUAACGAUUACAUUAAACCAAUUAAGAAAUACUUUUAUUUAAAUAAAGGCAUUGUAAGUUUACUAACCGAGGCUUAUAUUCAAGAUAUAAUUAUCAGGAAAAAUUUAAAAGAAAAUAUAUGUAUUAAUAUUUUAAAAAAUAACUAUGUGAUUAUAAAUGCUGAUAGUUCCUUCGGAGAUGGUACUAAAACAGAUAAUGUUGAUACCAGUGAUAAUAAAAACUAUUUGACGUACACUCACUAUGUCCUAAUAAAUUCCAAAAAAAAAAAAAAUAAAAUAAAUAAGAAUACAAAUAAAAAUGAAGAAAGUACAAAUAGUCAACCAUGUAAUAAAGAUGAUACAAAAACGAAUGUUGAAACACCAAAUAGUAGCUCAAAUUUAGAAACAACAAACAGCAUUAACAAUUUUAACAAUGCCAAAGCAGAUAUAAAUAAUGAAACACAUUUAAAAAAUGCCAUUGUUUUUUAUGUACCACUAUUAGAAACCGAAAAGUCAAUCAGCGAAACUGUGCUUAAUACUGUAUUUGAACUUAUAUUGUUAACACAUAAAGAGUCUACAUUUAUUUAUAAUAUUUCCAAAAAUAUAUUAUAUAAGUUUAACAAUACUAGCAGUAGUGACAGUGGUAGCAGUAGUGACAGUNNNNNNNNNNAUAAACAGUAUGGUAAUGAUAAACAGUAUGGCAAUGAUAAAGAAAAUAUAGUAAAUGCACAUACAUUCAAUACGGAUGACAAACACAAGAUAUGUGAACAAAUAUUUAAAGAUGAAGAAAACAAAUUUAAAACGGAAAAAAACAAUCCAUCAAAUAAUGUUGAAUGUACUACCUACACUCAUAACGUAUAUAAGAAAAAUAAAAAUAAUUUUGAAUACCAGCAGAUAAGUAGAUUUGAAAAAAACAAAAUUUUUAUUAUACCUGGCUCGAAAAUGUGGACAUUGAGGUUGGCGUGA
This 1218-nucleotide long non-coding RNA is filed under the name Piliocolobus tephrosceles (Ugandan red Colobus). RNAcentral describes it as "lncRNA (ENSPTEG00000008979.1)". The record is from RNAcentral. Lineage: Eukaryota; Metazoa; Chordata; Mammalia; Primates; Cercopithecidae.